CUACGUGCCAGCAGCCGCGGUAAUACGUAGGGUGCGAGCGUUAAUCGGAAUUACUGGGCGUAAAGCGGGCGCAGACGGUUACUUAAGCAGGAUGUGAAAUCCCCGGGCUCAACCUGGGAACUGCGUUCUGAACUGGGUGACUAGAGUGUGUCAGAGGGAGGUAGAAUUCCACGUGUAGCAGUGAAAUGCGUAGAGAUGUGGAGGGAUACCGAUGGCGAAGGCAGCCUCCUGGGAUAACACUGACGUUCAUGCCCGAAAGCGUGGGUAGCAAACAGGAUUAGAUACCCUGGUAGUCCACGCCCUAAACGAUGUCGAUUAGCUGUUGGGCAGCAUGACUGCUUAGUAGCGAAGCUAACGCGUGAAAUCGACCGCCUGGGGAGUACGGUCGCAAGAUUAAAACUCAAAGGAAUUGACGGGGACCCGCACAAGCGGUGGAUGAUGUGGAUUAAUUCGAUGCAACGCGAAGAACCUUACCUGGUCUUGACAU
RNAcentral lists this ribosomal RNA (487 nucleotides) under uncultured bacterium. Its description in RNAcentral is "bacterial SSU rRNA". It matches the Rfam family "Bacterial small subunit ribosomal RNA", at positions 501 to 987 of the family's 1533-position model. The record is from RNAcentral.